Molecule: ribosomal RNA, 588 nt
Filed under: uncultured bacterium
Lineage: Bacteria
Description: bacterial SSU rRNA
Rfam family: Bacterial small subunit ribosomal RNA (bases 1-525)
Source: RNAcentral
CCUACGGGAGGCAGCAGUGGGGAAUAUUGCACAAUGGGCGAAAGCCUGAUGCAGCGACGCCGCGUGAGGGAUGACGGCCUUCGGGUUGUAAACCUCUUUCAGCAGGGAAGAAGCGAAAGUGACGGUACCUGCAGAAGAAGCGCCGGCUAACUACGUGCCAGCAGCCGCGGUAAUACGUAGGGCGCAAGCGUUGUCCGGAAUUAUUGGGCGUAAAGAGCUCGUAGGCGGCUUGUCACGUCGGGUGUGAAAGCCCGGGGCUUAACCCCGGGUCUGCAUUCGAUACGGGCUAGCUAGAGUGUGGUAGGGGAGAUCGGAAUUCCUGGUGUAGCGGUGAAAUGCGCAGAUAUCAGGAGGAACACCGGUGGCGAAGGCGGAUCUCUGGGCCAUUACUGACGCUGAGGAGCGAAAGCGUGGGGAGCGAACAGGAUUAGAUACCCUGGUAGUCCACGCCGUAAACGGUGGGAACUAGGUGUUGGCGACAUUCCACGUCGUCGGUGCCGCAGCUAACGCAUUAAGUUCCCCGCCUGGGGNGUACGGCGCAGACGUAACUAAGAAGUGAGCGNGAGAGNGCGAGCGACACGAGGAGAG